Molecule: ribosomal RNA, 392 nt
Filed under: uncultured bacterium
Lineage: Bacteria
Description: partial 16S ribosomal RNA
Rfam family: Bacterial small subunit ribosomal RNA
Source: RNAcentral
ACACGUAGGGGGCGAGCGUUGUUCGGAAUCAUUGGGCGUAAAGGGCGUGCAGGCGGUCCUGCAAGUCCGGUGUGAAAGUGCUCGGCUCAACCGAGUGAUGCGCUGGAAACUGCCCUGCUUGAGUACAGGCGGGGACGUCGGAAUUUCAGGUGUAGGGGUGAAAUCUGUAGAUAUCUGGAAGAACACCGGUGGCGAAGGCGGACGUCUGGCCAUGUACUGACGCUGAGACGCGAAGGUGCGGGGAGCGAACAGGUUUAGAUACCCUGGUAGUCCGCACAGUAAACGAUGUGCACCAGGUGGCGGGGGGUAGCCCUCGGUACCGAAGCCAACGCAUUAAGUGCACCGCCUGGGGAGUAUGCUCGCAAGGGUGAAACUCAAAGGAAUUGGCGGGG